This 126-nucleotide small nuclear RNA is filed under the name Rhipicephalus sanguineus (brown dog tick). Its description in RNAcentral is "U5 spliceosomal RNA". It matches the Rfam family "U5 spliceosomal RNA". From Rfam's summary of the family: U5 RNA is a component of both types of known spliceosome. The precise function of this molecule is unknown, though it is known that the 5' loop is required for splice site selection and p220 binding, and that both the 3' stem-loop and the Sm site are important for Sm protein binding and cap methylation. Lineage: Eukaryota; Metazoa; Arthropoda; Arachnida; Ixodida; Ixodidae. The record is from Rfam by way of RNAcentral.
UCGCUCAGGUCUCUCCUCACCCCCCGCACGAAUUAACCUUUCGCCUUUUACUAAAGGUUACCGUGGGGAGGGACACUCCAAUGAGCCUACUGGCCAAUUUUUGUAAGGCCCAGCCUGUUUGGGUGG